Molecule: ribosomal RNA, 468 nt
Filed under: uncultured bacterium
Lineage: Bacteria
Description: partial 16S ribosomal RNA
Rfam family: Bacterial small subunit ribosomal RNA
Source: RNAcentral
GACGAACGCUGGCGGCGUGCCUAACACAUGCAAGUCGAACGGAAAGGCCCUGCUUUUGUGGGGUGCUCGAGUGGCGCACGGGUGAGUAACACGUGUGUACCUCCCCCUUAGCUUGGGGUCAACUCACGGAAACUGGGGCAAUAACCGCCUAGACGCUCCCGCUGCACGGGGGGGGUUGGAGAAUUCCGGCUGUUGGGGAUCGACGCGCCGCUUCUCCGCUUGUUGGGGGGGGUGGGGCUUACCAAGCCUUUGGCGGGUAGCCGGCCUGAGAGGGUGACCGGCCACAUUGGGACUGAGGUACGGCCCAGACCCUUACGGGAGGCAGAAGUGGGGUAUAUUACACAAUGGGCGGAAGCCUGGUGCAGCACCGCCGCGUGCGGGAUGACGGGCUUCGGGUUGUAAACCGCUGUGGCCUGUGAUGAAGCGUGAGUGACGGUAAUGGGUAGAUAAGCACCGGCUAAGUACGUG